AUACUUACCUGGCAGGAGAGAUACCAUGAUCACAAAGGUGGUUUUCUUGGGGUGAGACUUAUUCAUUGCACUCCAGAUGUGCUGAACCCUGCGAUUUCCCCAAAUUCGAGAAGGUUGACUGCAUACUUUGUGGUAGUGGGGAACUGUGUUCUCGCUCUCCCCUG
Molecule: small nuclear RNA, 164 nt
Organism: Peromyscus maniculatus bairdii (prairie deer mouse)
Lineage: Eukaryota; Metazoa; Chordata; Mammalia; Rodentia; Cricetidae
Gene: U1
Rfam family: U1 spliceosomal RNA
About the family: U1 is a small nuclear RNA (snRNA) component of the spliceosome (involved in pre-mRNA splicing). Its 5' end forms complementary base pairs with the 5' splice junction, thus defining the 5' donor site of an intron.
Source: Ensembl